CCUACGGGAGGCAGCAGUGAGGAAUAUUGGUCAAUGGACGAGAGCCUGAACCAGCCAAGUCGCGUGAGGGAGUACUGCCCUAUGGGUUGUAAACCGCUUUUGUCGGGGAGCAAAAGCCGGACGUGUCCUGCUGUUAGAAUACCCGAAUGAAAAGCAUCGGCUAACUCCGUGCCAGCAGCCGCGGUAAUACGGAGGGUCCGGGCGUUUUCCGGAUUUAUUGGGUUUAAAGGGUGCGUAGGCGGUCUUUUAAGUCAGAGGUGAAAGUCUGUGGCUCAACCAUAGAAUUGCCGUUGAAACUGGGAGGCUUGAGUAUGUUUGAGGUAGGCGGAAUGUGUGGUGUAGCGGUGAAAUGCUUAGAUAUCACGCAGAACACCGAUUGCGAAGGCAGCUUGCCAAGCUAUGACUGACGUUGAGGCACGAAAGCGUGGGGAUCAAACAGGAUUAGAUACCCUAGUAGUC
This 459-nucleotide ribosomal RNA is filed under the name uncultured bacterium. RNAcentral's name for it is "partial 16S ribosomal RNA". It matches the Rfam family "Bacterial small subunit ribosomal RNA", at positions 338 to 795 of the family's 1533-position model. The record is from RNAcentral.